Molecule: ribosomal RNA, 1206 nt
Filed under: Pseudopyrenochaeta lycopersici CRA-PAV_ER 1211
Lineage: Eukaryota; Fungi; Ascomycota; Dothideomycetes; Pleosporales; Pseudopyrenochaetaceae
Description: bacterial LSU rRNA
Rfam family: Bacterial large subunit ribosomal RNA
Source: RNAcentral
CUCGGCAAAUUGACACCGUAACUUCGGAAGAAGGUGUGCCUUUAGUAGGUGUAGUUGUACAAACGAAGCCCAAUGAGGCCGCAGAGAAUCGGUGGCUGCAACUGUUUAUUAAAAACACAGCACUCUGCAAAGACGAAAGUCGACGUAUAGGGUGUGACUCCUGCCCGGUGCUGGAAGAUUAAAUGAUGGGGUGCAAGCUCUUGACUGAAGUCCCAGUAAACGGCGGCCGUAACUAUAACGGUCCUAAGGUAGCGAAAUUCCUUGUCGGGUAAGUUCCGACCUGCACGAAUGGAGUAAUGAUGGCCACACUGUCUCCUCCAGAGACUCAGCGAAGUUGAAAUGUUUGUGAUGAUGCAAUCUCCCCGCGGAAAGACGGAAAGACCCCAUGAACCUUUACUGUAGCUUUACAUUGGACUUUGAACAGAUCUGUGUAGGAUAGGUGGGAGGCUUUGAAGUAAGGUCGCUAGAUCUUAUGGAGCCGACGUUGAAAUACCACCCUGGUGUGUUUGAGGUUCUAACCUUGGCCCGUGAUCCGGGUUGGGGACAGUGUAUGGUGGGCAGUUUGACUGGGGCGGUCUCCUCCCAAAGCGUAACGGAGGAGUUCGAAGGUACGCUAGUUACGGUCGGAAAUCGUGACGAUAGUGCAUUGGCAUAAGCGUGCUUGACUGCGAGACUGACAAGUCGAGCAGGUACGAAAGUAGGACAAAGUGAUCCGGUGGUUCUGUAUGGAAGGGCCAUCGCUCAACGGAUAAAAGGUACUCUGGGGAUAACAGGCUGAUACCGCCCAAGAGUUCAUAUCGACGGCGGUGUUUGGCACCUCGAUGUCGGCUCAUCUCAUCCUGGGGCUGUAGCCGGUCCCAAGGGUAUGGCUGUUCGCCAUUUAAAGAGGUACGUGAGCUGGGUUUAAAACGUCGUGAGACAGUUUGGUCCCUAUCUUCCGUGGGCGCUGCAAGAUUGAGAGAGCCUGCUCCUAGUACGAGAGGACCGGAGUGGACGCACCUCUGGUGUAUCGGUUGUCACGCCAGUGGCAUUGCCGAGUAGCUAAGUGCGGAAGAGAUAACCGCUGAAAGCAUCUAAGCGGGAAGCACGCUUCAAGAUAAGGGUUCCCACAGGAGUGUUCCUGGUAAGGUCCCCGAGAGAUGAUCGGGUUGAUAGGCCAGACGUGGACGCAUCGUAAGGUGUGGAGCUGACUGGUACUAAUAGACC